RNAcentral lists this ribosomal RNA (609 nucleotides) under uncultured bacterium. Its description in RNAcentral is "bacterial SSU rRNA". The stretch from base 1 to 518 matches the Rfam family "Bacterial small subunit ribosomal RNA", at positions 338 to 873 of the family's 1533-position model. The record is from RNAcentral.
CCUACGGGAGGCAGCAGUGGGGAAUCUUGCGCAAUGGGCGAAAGCCUGACGCAGCCAUGCCGCGUGAAUGAUGAAGGUCUUAGGAUUGUAAAAUUCUUUCACCGGGGACGAUAAUGACGGUACCCGGAGAAGAAGCCCCGGCUAACUUCGUGCCAGCAGCCGCGGUAAUACGAAGGGGGCUAGCGUUGCUCGGAAUUACUGGGCGUAAAGGGAGCGUAGGCGGAUAGUUUAGUCAGAGGUGAAAGCCCAGGGCUCAACCUUGGAAUUGCCUUUGAUACUGGCUAUCUUGAGUACGGAAGAGGUAUGUGGAACUCCGAGUGUAGAGGUGAAAUUCGUAGAUAUUCGGAAGAACACCAGUGGCGAAGGCGACAUACUGGUCCGUUACUGACGCUGAGGCUCGAAAGCGUGGGGAGCAAACAGGAUUAGAUACCCUGGUAGUCCACGCUGUAAACGAUGAGUGCUAGUUGUCGGCAUGCAUGCAUGUCGGUGACGCAGCUAACGCAUUAAGACACUCCGCCGUCGGGGAGGUACGGUCGGCGAAGAAUUAAACUAACGAAAGGAAGUUAGACGGCGUGAGACGUGCCGACGGACGACGACGAGGGAGGUAGG